This is a long non-coding RNA of Ostrea edulis (European flat oyster), 2600 nucleotides long. RefSeq lists it as uncharacterized. The transcript is spliced from 6 exons. The record is from RefSeq and is a predicted model, not a curated record. NCBI's taxonomy places the organism in Eukaryota, Metazoa, Mollusca, Bivalvia, Ostreida, Ostreidae.
CUUCCCCAAUUUUAUUCAUAAGUGCCCAUAAUACAUAUUCUGAGCACUCCAAAUCUGUGAUACCUCUGACUCUAACCCCGCACAUGUCACAAUAUAAAAGCAGGGGUUAGAGUUAGAGGUAUGUUGGAUUAGAGCACCCCAAAACUUAAAACAAGCAUAUUCUGGAAUGAAUACAUGAGUUGCAAACAUUUGUUUACAAAAUUAUAUCAUAUGGAUAAAUAUGUUUGUCAAGAGAAAAUUUUUUAACCUUGGUAUAGUGUUGAGUCAUAAAGUUUAAUGUUUAAAAAAAGGUGACCAUAAUUACCAAAAAAAAAAGUUUUCUAAGCCAUUAUUACCUUUCUCAAAUGUCAUAAAUGUUGAAAUAUUUUAUCUUUAAUGAUUUAUAAGCUAGCCUCUAGAGUUAAAUUAUUCUCUCAGUCAUAAAUGCACACUUCAUGCUGCCAAAGUUUACAAUUAAUAUACACUUAAAGGUCUUACGCAAGGAAAUAGCCAAUCAAAAUGAUUUAUUCAAUUGUAGUUCUAUAUGUAAUGGUUUGGGCCGUGGAUAUCGGCCUGGGUAGCUCAGUCAGUAGAACACCUGACUAGUGAUGCAGGGGUCCCGGGUUCGAUUCCCGGUCCUGCCAUACAUUUUCUCAUUUCCUGUUACAGAUUUGGUGCCGUUGAUCACCCCUGGACUUGGAGGUGAAAGUCCUCCCAGGGGCAAAUAAGAACUUGGGUUGCGUCUUCGAGGGCGAAGACAAUUUAAGGAGGGAGGAAUGUAAUGGUUCUGGCCGUGGAUAUCGGCCUGGGUAGCUCAGUCGGUAAAGCACCUGACUAGUGAUGCAGGGGUUCCGGGUUCGAUUCCCGGUCCAGCCAUACAUUUUCUCCUUUCCUGUUACAUAUAUAUAUAUAUAGACAAUUUCUUUUCCUUUUUUUCUUUUUUGGCAUCUUAUUUUAGGCCUACAGUAUUAAUUUUGGGCUCAUUUACUAGGAAUAUUAUAACUUUAUUGGAAUUGUCCCACUGAAUUAAAGGGAACUCUUUUUUCAGGUGCGCAUGAUGCAACUUCCUGGAUGGUGUGUAGUCUGUUUGUCAACAUGUGAAACCCACGUGUAUUUUGAGGAAUAGCCUCCCCUGUUAAAGAUCAAUAAUGGUGGAUAAACAAUGCAGGAUGCUGUCAUGUCAUCAACAGAGAGUUUUGACACCCGUGUACCCGUAUUUCUACCAAUCACCUCUGUAACCUUUGUUGUGUUCAUCAGACAGAUGAUGGACCACUCUACUUCCUUUUACAACAGGUGCCCCUACAGAUUCACAAAGUUCCAAUGUUGAUUUUCCAUGACCCCCAUUCAUCCGCGACAGGAAAAGGAAUGAAGUUGACAGGAUUUCCCGCACUGUCCUUGGUAGCAGCUUAUGAUAGAACGGACAGCAGUAGACCUAGCCCGCUUCAUCAAAGGUCUGCUGCAUGUUGGUAGCUGAUGCUGGUUCAAUAUUUGCGCCAAGAAGCAUACCACGCAUACCCUCUGUAGUAAGGCUGGUACCCAUGUGACCGACAGCCAUAGCCACAUUUAGCUGUGCAGCUCUGCGUCCCCUUCUGGAUCUCCCCACCUCUUCAUACAGCUUUUCACAGCGACUUGUAUAGUGGCACUUCUUACAUCGGAUGGAAAGGAUCCAUGCCAGGCCUCGUUUUUCCUCCCCAUGCUGGUUCCAGUCCAGUGAACCAUUACAGUCUGGAAACUUCUAGCUGCCUGGUCUUCUAAGAGAAACUCCAUUCUUUGAUGAUUGAUGGAAAAGCCUCAUCACUCCCUACUGCUAAAGAACCACUUAUCUUAAUCACCAGCCAUUUAUCAGUGAUCACUGUUAUCAAAGCUCCAUGGUACGUCAUUGAAGUCUUUCUUGGCACCAUUUUUUCCAGUCCCUGACUUUGUUUAGAAUUAAGAUUGACAAUUUUUUGCUAAUUACUUCCUUAUAAAUCAGUAAACUUCCUGUUUCUUAGUUAAUUAGGGCUUGUUAAUUAGAGUUGAAAAAACUUUUAUGCAGAUGGACACAAACUCCAACAUCUCAGCUUGCAUAUCAUUCCAAAUUUUUUCCUAAAUAAUUCACUCAUUAGAUUUUUUUGUGUUUUGAAAAUGAUAUACUGGAGAACAAUUUGACCAGAAAUUUAGCCUAAAAUUCUGCAAUCUGUUUGGAAGAGUUAUCUCCUAUUUUUCAUCCCUUAGGGUCAAAAAUAGAUUUUGAUGCACUAGUAUAUGAGAGAUAAAUAACUAAUAGACAUUUUUCUGCAAAUUUCAUUUAAUUUCAUUAACUUUUAGUCAUCUUAAAGGUCUUACGCAAGGAAAUAGCCAAUCAAAAUGAACUUAGUCAAUUGUAGUUCUAUAUAUAGAGAGAAUUUCUGUUCUUUUUUUCUUUUUCCGGCAUCCUAUUUUAGGCCUACAGUAUUAAUUUUGGGCUCAUUUACUAGGAAUACUAUAACUUUAUUGGAAUUGUCCCACUGAAUUAAAGGGAAUUCUUUUUUCAGGUGCGCAUGAUGUAACUUCCUGGAUGUUUGUCAACAUGUGAAACCCACGUGUAUUUUGAGGUAGGUGUGUUUACUGUCAAUUUUCUCUCUUGAAUGCCGCAUAAGACG